RNAcentral lists this transfer RNA (74 nucleotides) under Planctomycetes bacterium ADurb.Bin401. Its description in RNAcentral is "tRNA-Met". It matches the Rfam family "tRNA". From Rfam's summary of the family: Transfer RNA (tRNA) molecules are approximately 80 nucleotides in length. Their secondary structure includes four short double-helical elements and three loops (D, anti-codon, and T loops). The record is from RNAcentral. Lineage: Bacteria; Pseudomonadati; Planctomycetota.
UGGCGGGAUAGAGCAAUGGUAGCUCGGCAGGCCCAUGACCUGUAGGUUGAAGGUUCGAAUCCUUCUCCCGCAAU